Molecule: ribosomal RNA, 515 nt
Filed under: Escherichia coli
Lineage: Bacteria; Pseudomonadati; Pseudomonadota; Gammaproteobacteria; Enterobacterales; Enterobacteriaceae
Description: partial 23S ribosomal RNA
Rfam family: Bacterial large subunit ribosomal RNA
Source: RNAcentral
UAACACUAACUGGAGGACCGAACCGACUAAUGUUGAAAAAUUAGCGGAUGACUUGUGGCUGGGGGUGAAAGGCCAAUCAAACCGGGAGAUAGCUGGUUCUCCCCGAAAGCUAUUUAGGUAGCGCCUCGUGAAUUCAUCUCCGGGGGUAGAGCACUGUUUCGGCAAGGGGGUCAUCCCGACUUACCAACCCGAUGCAAACUGCGAAUACCGGAGAAUGUUAUCACGGGAGACACACGGCGGGUGCUAACGUCCGUCGUGAAGAGGGAAACAACCCAGACCGCCAGCUAAGGUCCCAAAGUCAUGGUUAAGUGGGAAACGAUGUGGGAAGGCCCAGACAGCCAGGAUGUUGGCUUAGAAGCAGCCAUCAUUUAAAGAAAGCGUAAUAGCUCACUGGUCGAGUCGGCCUGCGCGGAAGAUGUAACGGGGCUAAACCAUGCACCGAAGCUGCGGCAGCGACACUAUGUGUUGUUGGGUAGGGGAGCGUUCUGUAAGCCUGUGAAGGUGUACUGUGAGGU